Molecule: ribosomal RNA, 430 nt
Filed under: Bacteroidota bacterium
Lineage: Bacteria; Pseudomonadati; Bacteroidota
Description: Bacteroidetes bacterium partial 16S ribosomal RNA
Rfam family: Bacterial small subunit ribosomal RNA
Source: RNAcentral
UAGGGAAUCUUCGGCAAUGGGGGGAACCCUGACCGAGCAACGCCGCGUGAGUGAAGAAGGUUUUCGGAUCGUAAAGCUCUGUUGUUAAGGAAGAACGAGUGUGAGAAUGGAAAGUUCAUGCUGUGACGGUACUUAACCAGAAAGGGACGGCUAACUACGUGCCAGCAGCCGCGGUAAUACGUAGGUCCCGAGCGUUGUCCGGAUUUAUUGGGCGUAAAGCGAGCGCAGGCGGUCAAUUAAGUCUGAUGUGAAAGCCCCCGGCUCAACCGGGGAGGGUCAUUGGAAACUGUUUAACUUGAGUGCAGAAGGGGAGAGUGGAAUUCCAUGUGUAGCGGUGAAAUGCGUAGAUAUAUGGAGGAACACCGGUGGCGAAAGCGGCUCUCUGGUCUGUAACUGACGCUGAGGCUCGAAAGCGUGGGGAGCGAACAGG